RNAcentral lists this ribosomal RNA (712 nucleotides) under uncultured Capnocytophaga sp. Its description in RNAcentral is "bacterial SSU rRNA". It matches the Rfam family "Bacterial small subunit ribosomal RNA", at positions 62 to 779 of the family's 1533-position model. Lineage: Bacteria; Pseudomonadati; Bacteroidota; Flavobacteriia; Flavobacteriales; Flavobacteriaceae. The record is from RNAcentral.
UCGAGGGAGGAGCCUUCGGGCUUCGACCGGCGUACGGGUGCGUAACGCGUAUACAAUCUGCCUUUCACAUAGGGAUAGCCCGAAGAAAUUUGGAUUAAUACCUAAUGGUAUAUAGGAGUGGCAUCACAUUUAUAUUAAAGCUGAGGCGGUGAAAGAUGAGUAUGCGUUCUAUUAGCUAGUUGGAGAGGUAACGGCUCCCCAAGGCGACGAUAGAUAGGGGUUCUGAGAGGGAUAUCCCCCACACUGGUACUGAGAUACGGACCAGACUCCUACGGGAGGCAGCAGUGAGGAAUAUUGGACAAUGGUCGGAAGACUGAUCCAGCCAUGCCGCGUGCAGGAAGACGGCCUUAUGGGUUGUAAACUGCUUUUGCAGGGGAAGAAUAAGGACUACGCGUAGUUUGAUGACGGUACUCUGCGAAUAAGCAUCGGCUAACUCCGUGCCAGCAGCCGCGGUAAUACGGAGGAUGCGAGCGCUAUCCGGAAUCAUUGGGUUUAAAGGGUCCGUAGGCGGGCUAAUAAGUCAGAGGUGAAAGCGCUCAGCUCAACUGAGCAACUGCCUUUGAAACUGUUAGUCUUGAAUGGUUGUGAAGUAGUCGGAAUGUGUAGUGUAGCGGUGAAAUGCUUAGAUAUUACACAGAACACCGAUAGCGAAGGCAUAUUACUAACAAUUAAUUGACGCUGAUGGACGAAAGCGUGGGGAGCGAACAGGAUU